Molecule: long non-coding RNA, 2814 nt
Organism: Eriocheir sinensis (Chinese mitten crab)
Lineage: Eukaryota; Metazoa; Arthropoda; Malacostraca; Decapoda; Varunidae
Exons: 3
Source: RefSeq, a predicted model, not a curated record
GAGAGAGAGAGAGAGAGAGAGAGAGAGAGAGAGAGAGAGAGAGAGAGAGAGAGAGAGAGAGAGAGAUUUACAUAGAUUUACAUAGAUCAGACCACACAGACCCCAUGGUCCAGAGUAGGUGGUCUGUCCUUAAACUAAGUGAUUUUACAUUAAUAAGAUGGCUCCAUAACUUCGCGUUUCACUCUAGUUAAUAUUAAGUUGAAGGAAGUGUCGGUCGAGCUUGUUUUUAAAGGAGUCAAUCGUGUUACUGUGGACCACUGAAGGUGAAAACUUAUUCCAUUCUCGCACUACAAAGUUGGUGAAGAAAAAAAUUGGUGCAGUCUGAAUUUACUUGUCUUCAUUUGAGUUUUGUGCCAUUAUUCCUCGUCCGCAGUGUCAUCGAUCAUAAACAAUUUUAAUUUGUCCACGUUCGUGAAUCCAUUAAGUAUUUUGUUGUCACUAUUUUAAAACAUUCGAUCAGUAUUCCUCGGAGGCGACGUUUCUCAAGAGAUAACAUGUUAAGGGCGGAGAGAGAGAGAGAGAGAGAGAGAGAGAGAGAGAGAGAGAGAGAGAGAGAGAGAGAGAGAGAGAGAGAUUUACACAGAUAAACAUAGAUGUUCAGACCCACAAAGACCCUCUGGUUCAGAUUAAGGGUUUUGUCCCUUAACCUAAAUGAAAGUAUUUGUGACAAGACGUGUUUGGGCUAGUUGCACAUUUUAUUCUGGCCAGCUAUCACGACGGAAAAUAACCAUAAGGCUUGAUGAGUAAAACGCACGGAAUGUGAUGGCCUUGGUGGCAAUUGGUGAGUGAGACUAAACGAGGUGUGCAUGGGAUGAAUGUAAAGCAGAGACUCCUAUAUGGCGAGUCAAGGGAGUUAGAUAUAUGCGGAUUUAAAAGGUUGUCACAAGUAAAGGAUUUUGUCGCACUUUCAAAUUUCUGAUAAAAAGGAAUAAAAUUUUGAUGGCACAAGGGACCGGAUGCAUCGCUUGCAGAAGAUAAUAUAAUUAACAACAAUCACAGAAGUGAAGUGGUUAGCACUCCUAGCUAGAAUCUACAGGGCCCGUAUCCUCGAGAGCUAUUAACUUUUACUCUUAAAGUUACUAUCAAAGUUAAUAGCUUCAAAUUAUUAAGAGUAAAAGCUAUCCUCGUCAACUUUGAGUGUAGGUAUUAGCAAAUCCUGGCUACUAUUAUCUUCUUCUUCUUCUUCUUUAUGGCGGGCUCGUUGCUAAGGACGCCUCCGUGCAAAACGUAAACAUCCGACAUGAAUUAAGUAUAUAUUUCAAAAGAAUAAUAAAGGAAAGAUGUAUAAAUGUACAACAGAAACAUAAUAAAUGGCAAACACAAGAAAAUACUGAGUUUUGUGGCAGAUAGAAGCAGCCUCAAAGGCUGUUUUUACUCCGUCACUCGUCAAUACCCUUAUCUCCCCGCCUGCGUCACGACUUGCUCUGCUGAAAUUACCGCACCAUAACCACGUCAUCUGCCCCAAUGAUCUACGGGCCGGAGAACCAGCGCAGAAAAGGAGUAAGUUUAAUUGGUCGCCAGAUGAAACGGUCUUCUUACAUCAAAUUCAAGAAAAAAUACGUAUAAUCAGAGGGUGUUAUGGGAAGAGUAUCACCCCUGAGGAUAAGAAGAGAGCGUGGACUGAAGUGGCAGAAGCUGUAACAAGUGCCUUCCCUGGGAGUGGACCCCGUACGCAGGAUGACUGUGAGAGGCGUUGGUACAACGUACAACAAAAAUCAAAGCCUUGCAUUGCCAAGUGCAAGAGUGAGCAGCAGCAGACUGAUACACACUUUAUCAGUAUUGCUAGAGACCAUCCCAGCACAUUGUUCAUUACUUGUGGAAAAGAUACCAUUAGCUGCUCCGGCAACAGCCACCGCUUCAAUAUCUGCUGGCCCUAUGACACCAGCCACUGCUUCAUCAUCUGCUGGCCCUAUGACACCAGCCACUGUUUCAUCAUCUGCUGGCCCUAUGACACCAGCCACUGCUUCAUCAUCUGCUGGCCCAAUGACACCUGCCACUGCAAGGGAUGACAAUGAAGCUGCUCCACCAGUCACCACCUACUUCAUCGGAGUUAAGAGAUGCCUUUCAUAGGGCAGCAGUAUAAUUUUUUGAUGCUGGGGCUGAAUAUUACUGCCUCAAGGCUAUGAUUUUGUCACUUUUUUUUUUUAUUACUGAGGAGGUUAGGGUGGAAGGGGUGAAAAAUAAUUUGUGCUGUUUUUCGACAGAAAUGAUUAGCAAAUUCAUUCAAAGCACAAAAUUUACCGGAAAAAAAUUGUGUGCCAUUGUGAGUGGGUUCACUUGAGAUUGGGCUCCAAUACGCCUCCGUGGUCUAAUGGUCAGCAUGCCUGGAUUCUACGCGGGCCCGGGUUCGAAUCCCGGCCUGGGCAGUCGGCGUGCAGCUCACCCAGCUGAUCAUCCUCCCUCUCGGGCUGGUCGAUAAAUGACUACCUGGGGAAACUGUGGUAGCCUGGAUGUCACACUGGCCCUGUGUCCCGGGGUAAUGGGCUCCCUCUCACCACAGGCUCAAGGCCCAAUGUUACGGAGAUGAGCACCGAGGCCACGCGCUGCUAUAGCGUAUGCCCCAACUUUACCUUUACCUUUAUUGGCUCGACUGACAGACAUGGCUUUGUAUGUCGAAGGUCACUGGUUCAAUCUCCACAGCCAGCACUCUCUAACUUGGAUUUCUCCGAGUUCCCUAGAGCCUAGAUUAAUUUCUGAGUGUUAAAUGAGGAGAUUUGCACCGGCACCCAGUCAUGGGUGUUACAAGAUGCGUUGUUACAAUCAGGGGCGUCAAUUGGCCUUCAAAAGUGGGAGGGACAUUAGGGCAGACAGUUA